RNAcentral lists this ribosomal RNA (113 nucleotides) under Bacteroidales bacterium. Lineage: Bacteria; Pseudomonadati; Bacteroidota; Bacteroidia; Bacteroidales. The record is from RNAcentral.
UGCGGUGGUUAAAGCGAUGAGGAUCCACCUCUUCCCAUCCCGAACAGAGCCGUUAAGCUCAUCCGCGCCGAUGGUACUGGCCCACCAGCUGGGAGAGUAGGUCGCCGCCGUUC